AUACGGAGGAUGCGAGCGUUAUCCGGAUUUAUUGGGUUUAAAGGGAGCGUAGGUGGGAUGUUAAGUCAGCUGUGAAAGUUUGGGGCUCAACCUUAAAAUUGCAGUUGAUACUGGUUUCCUUGAGUACGGUACAGGUGGGCGGAAUUCGUGGUGUAGCGGUGAAAUGCUUAGAUAUCACGAAGAACUCCGAUCGCGAAGGCAGCUCCCCAAGCCGGGACUGACACUGAUGCUCGAAAGUGCUGUUAUCAAACAGGAUUAGAUACCCUGGUAGGCCGAAGAGUAAACGCUGAAUACUCGAUGUUUGCGAUACACGGUAAGCGGCCAAGCGAAAGCGUUAAGUAUUCCAGCUGGGCAGUACGGUGUCAACGGUGAAGCUCAAAUGAAUUGACUGUG
This 393-nucleotide ribosomal RNA is filed under the name uncultured bacterium. RNAcentral's name for it is "partial 16S ribosomal RNA". It matches the Rfam family "Bacterial small subunit ribosomal RNA", at positions 523 to 918 of the family's 1533-position model. The record is from RNAcentral.